AUUGGUCAGGGGUCACUCAGUGGUCACUCAGUGGUCACUCAGUGGUCACUCAUUGGUCAAUGGUCACUCAUUGGUCACUCAUUGGUCACUCAAUAGGCAGUAUAAGGACAGUGGUCACUCUGGUCACUCAGUGGUCACUCAAUGGUCACUCAAUGGUCACUCAGUGGUCACUCAUUGGUCAGUGGUCACUCAGUGGUCACUCAUUGGUUAGUAAUGGUCACUCAGUGGUCACUCAGUGGUCUCUCAAUGGUCACUCAUUGGUUACUCAUUGGUCACUCAGUGGUCAGUGGUCACUCAGUGGUCACUCAGUGGUCACUCAGUGGUCAGUGGUCACUCAGUGGUCACUCAAUGGGCAGUAUAAGGGCAAUAUAUGGGCAGUGGUCACUCAGUGG
Molecule: long non-coding RNA, 392 nt
Filed under: Zonotrichia albicollis (white-throated sparrow)
Lineage: Eukaryota; Metazoa; Chordata; Aves; Passeriformes; Passerellidae
Description: lncRNA (ENSZALG00000000458.1)
Source: RNAcentral